UACGUAGGUGGCAAGCGUUGUCCGGAUUUACUGGGCGUAAAGAGCGCGCAGGCGGCUGGUCAAGUCCGAUGUGAAAUCUCCCGGCUCAACUGGGAAACUGCAUCGGAAACUGAUCGGCUUGAAGGUGGGAGAGGGUAGUGGAAUUCCCGGUGUAGUGGUGAAAUGCGUAGAGAUCGGGUGGAACACCAGCGGCGAAGGCGGCAUCCUGGCCCUGUACUGACGCUGAGGCGCGAUAGCGUGGGGAGCAAACGGG
This 253-nucleotide ribosomal RNA is filed under the name uncultured bacterium. RNAcentral describes it as "partial 16S ribosomal RNA". It matches the Rfam family "Bacterial small subunit ribosomal RNA", at positions 524 to 776 of the family's 1533-position model. The record is from RNAcentral.